GUCUCUGUGGCGCAAUCGGUUAGUGCGUUAGGCUGUUAAUUGAAAGGUUGGUGGUUCAAGCCCACCCAAGGACG
RNAcentral lists this transfer RNA (74 nucleotides) under Danio rerio (zebrafish). It matches the Rfam family "tRNA". From Rfam's summary of the family: Transfer RNA (tRNA) molecules are approximately 80 nucleotides in length. Their secondary structure includes four short double-helical elements and three loops (D, anti-codon, and T loops). Lineage: Eukaryota; Metazoa; Chordata; Actinopteri; Cypriniformes; Danionidae. The record is from Rfam by way of RNAcentral.